This 107-nucleotide small RNA is filed under the name Arabidopsis thaliana (thale cress). Its description in RNAcentral is "ATSL051560". The record is from RNAcentral. Lineage: Eukaryota; Viridiplantae; Streptophyta; Magnoliopsida; Brassicales; Brassicaceae.
AAAAAUAUGACAACAAAAAGAUAAAUAAUCAUAUAUAUGAAAGUUGGCCAACUCUCUCUAUAUGAAUGACACGUCAUCACACAAGAAAAUGACAUGUGUUAUUUUAU